This 973-nucleotide ribosomal RNA is filed under the name Cobetia sp. GF46-3. Its description in RNAcentral is "bacterial SSU rRNA". It matches the Rfam family "Bacterial small subunit ribosomal RNA", at positions 536 to 1533 of the family's 1533-position model. Lineage: Bacteria; Pseudomonadati; Pseudomonadota; Gammaproteobacteria; Oceanospirillales; Halomonadaceae. The record is from RNAcentral.
GSRSGAUUAUCGGAAUUACUGGGCGUAAGCGCGCGUAGGUGGCUAAGUCAGCCAGGUGUGAAAGCCCCGGGCUYAACCUGGGAACGGCAUCUGGAACUGCUUGGCUAGAGUGCAGGAGAGGAAGGUAGAAUUCCCGGUGUAGCGGUGAAAUGCGUAGAGAUCGGGAGGAAUACCAGUGGCGAAGGCGGCCUUCUGGACUGACACUGACACUGAGGUGCGAAAGCGUGGGUAGCAAACAGGAUUAGAUACCCUGGUAGUCCACGCCGUAAACGAUGUCAACUAGCCGUUGGGUCCCUUGAGGACUUAGUGGCGCAGCUAACGCAAUAAGUUGACCGCCUGGGGAGUACGGCCGCAAGGUUAAAACUCAAAUGAAUUGACGGGGGCCCGCACAAGCGGUGGAGCAUGUGGUUUAAUUCGAUGCAACGCGAAGAACCUUACCUACCCUUGACAUCCAGAGGACUUUCCAGAGAUGGAUUGGUGCCUUCGGGAACUCUGAGACAGGUGCUGCAUGGCUGUCGUCAGCUCGUGUUGUGAAAUGUUGGGUUAAGUCCCGUAACGAGCGCAACCCCUAUCCUUAUUUGCCAGCGAGUAAUGUCGGGAACUCUAAGGAGACUGCCGGUGACAAACCGGAGGAAGGUGGGGACGACGUCAAGUCAUCAUGGCCCUUACGGGUAGGGCUACACACGUGCUACAAUGGCAAGUACAAAGGGUUGCAAUACUGCGAAGUGGAGCCAAUCCCAUAAAGCUUGCCUCAGUCCGGAUUGGAGUCUGCAACUCGACUCCAUGAAGUCGGAAUCGCUAGUAAUCGUGGAUCAGAAUGCCACGGUGAAUACGUUCCCGGGCCUUGUACACACCGCCCGUCACACCAUGGGAGUGGACUGCACCAGAAGUGGUUAGCCUAACCUUCGGGAGGGCGAUCACCACGGUGUGGUUCAUGACUGGGGUGAKCKCGARRGRARGGGAMAMAAAAAAA